CCUACGGGAGGCAGCAGUGGGGAAUAUUGCACAAUGGGGGAAACCCUGAUGCAGCGACGCCGCGUGAGUGAAGAAGUAAUUCGUUAUGUAAAGCUCUAUCAGCAGGGAAGAAAAUGACGGUACCUGAGUAAGAAGCCCCGGCUAACUACGUGCCAGCAGCCGCGGUAAUACGUAGGGGGCAAGCGUUAUCCGGAUUUACUGGGUGUAAAGGGAGCGUAGACGGCAGUGCAAGUCUGGAGUGAAAGGCGGGGGCUCAACCCCCGGACUGCUCUGGAAACUGUACGGCUGGAGUGCAGGAGAGGUAAGUGGAAUUCCUAGUGUAGCGGUGAAAUGCGUAGAUAUUAGGAGGAACACCAGUGGCGAAGGCGGCUUACUGGACUGUAACUGACGUUGAGGCUCGAAAGCGUGGGGAGCAAACAGGAUUAGAUACCCCAGUAGUC
Molecule: ribosomal RNA, 440 nt
Filed under: uncultured bacterium
Lineage: Bacteria
Description: partial 16S ribosomal RNA
Rfam family: Bacterial small subunit ribosomal RNA
Source: RNAcentral